GUCUCGAAAAACCCUUGAAAUAUCCUAUAUUGUUGUUUUAAAAUAGACCGAUUUUGAAUCACUCAGGCCAACAUUUUCAAAUUUUCAAAAUUUUCAAACCUUUCUUGCAGUGGUAAAAGGAGCAGAGGAAAACGAGUCGCUUCAAUAUUUCCAGCAUCCGCCAUUUUGGAAACCUGCUGCUUCAGUGCUGUUAGUAAUAUGGAAUACAAGUGGGAAAUCGCUGAACUGGAUUGUUUUUUUUCCGACACAGAACUGAAUACUGUUUCAAGAAAAUAGCGAGGAAACACAGGACUCAGCCGAAAACCUAUAAAUAUUUCUACAUGUAAAUAUCCCCAAAUUUUCUAAAUAACUUGACGUUUUCUAAAUAUCCCAAAAUAUAUUUGGAUACUUGUGGAAAGGCCUAAGAGCAGAUUUCAAAAUUCAUUCACAGCAGUUCACAGCGAGAAAUUGAAGUAUUUUUUCAACCCUGAAAAACUCACCUUUUCUCUUUGGUUCAGAACAAAAAAAAAAUUCACUAAACAAGUUGCUGAUUCAUAUCAAUGGGGGCGCCGUGGAAUUUCCAGAGAAAUCUGAGCUCCAGACUGGAAGUAAGCGGAAUCUGCACGUUUUGGUAGAACCCAGUCUACUGCAUGUCUGUUCGAACCCACUCGUUUCACUACACGACUUUCUCUCCAUCCUGGUUUUCAUUGAAACAGUCCGCAUGGCAAAAUCCCAACCAAGAAAGAACGGGCUGGAGGCACUUAGCAUUUAUGCAAUAUCCUUACGCAAAGCUCUUUAAAUUUUCCCCACAAUUUUGUCGACAGAUCCCAGAAUUACACUGAGCACUGGCGGCUGACAGGUCAGUUUACUUCUGACGCUUGAAACAAAUAACCGUGCCCUCUGCGGAUAUCUCAAACGAUCGAUAUGCAGUCGGGAAAAGACAAUAUCAAACAAUAGGCCCUUUGUACGAUCAGGUCACAUGGUGCAAAAUCACAUAUGCUGGGACGCAAGUUGCACAGUGGGACUUCCAAAACAAAGGCAGGUCAAGGUGGACUGGUACGAGUUGCUUUGUUUUGGAAGUCCCACUGUGCAACUUACGUCCCAGCAUGUGUGAUUUUGUACCAUGUGACGGGAUCGUGCUAAGGGCCUAUUCAAUAUCAAGUGUCAACGAACGUCGUUAACGCACUGGAGCAUGGAGCAUUGCUUGACAACUCCAAACGCCGGCUGUGAAGUAGACCCGGGUAAGGAGAUUGGUCAACUGACCUCUACUGAGCAAGAUAACCUCAAGAGACGAGAAACGAGGCAAUCGUGGGCGGAAUUAAACAGUGAAGGUCAGUGUUUCACAUCCAGUGUCUCGAGAAAUUCGUAUUUUAACUGCUUUCUCAUCUUGCAUUUUCUUUUGAAUAAGAAAAACUUCACGCAACACACAGCAUGAUACAUUUACAGAAACUGUUUUACUUUUGAAUAGAACAGGAGUAGGUAAACUCAGUCAACAGUGUUGAUUGUAGUGGAUUAUGGUAAUUCAAGACUAGUCGCAUCACUACACAAGCUCACUCCUUCUUCUGUUUGGAACACUAAUCACGC
Molecule: long non-coding RNA, 1563 nt
Filed under: Orbicella faveolata
Lineage: Eukaryota; Metazoa; Cnidaria; Anthozoa; Scleractinia; Merulinidae
Description: uncharacterized LOC110062697
Source: RNAcentral